This 76-nucleotide transfer RNA is filed under the name Rhodococcus spongiicola. RNAcentral's name for it is "Rhodococcus sp. LHW50502 tRNA-Trp". It matches the Rfam family "tRNA". From Rfam's summary of the family: Transfer RNA (tRNA) molecules are approximately 80 nucleotides in length. Their secondary structure includes four short double-helical elements and three loops (D, anti-codon, and T loops). The record is from RNAcentral. Lineage: Bacteria; Bacillati; Actinomycetota; Actinomycetes; Mycobacteriales; Nocardiaceae.
AGGUGAGUAGCGCACCUGGAAGAGCAGCGGUCUCCAAAACCGCAGGUUGCAGGUUCGAGUCCUGCCGCAUCUGCCA